UACGAAGGGGGCUAGCGUUGCUCGGAAUUACUGGGCGUAAAGCGCACGUAGGUGGAUUGUUAAGUCGGGGGUGAAAUCCUGGAGCUCAACUCCAGAACUGCCUUCGAUACUGGCGAUCUCGAGUUCGGGAGAGGUGAGUGGAACUGCGAGUGUAGAGGUGAAAUGCGUAGAUAUUCGCAAGAACACCAGAGGCGAAGGCGGCUCACUGGCCCGAUACUGACGCUGAGGUGCGAAAGCGUGGGGAGCAAACAGG
RNAcentral lists this ribosomal RNA (253 nucleotides) under uncultured bacterium. RNAcentral describes it as "partial 16S ribosomal RNA". It matches the Rfam family "Bacterial small subunit ribosomal RNA", at positions 524 to 776 of the family's 1533-position model. The record is from RNAcentral.